Molecule: unclassified non-coding RNA, 973 nt
Filed under: Hevea brasiliensis (rubber tree)
Lineage: Eukaryota; Viridiplantae; Streptophyta; Magnoliopsida; Malpighiales; Euphorbiaceae
Source: RNAcentral
GCUGGAUCAUAUUUAAGCAUCUUCGAUAGAAGGUCAACACCCUCAGGUCCGAGUGAUGGAACAGCGCGUGCCAGGGUUUGGGACUCCCAUUGUGGAUAGACAUGCCAAUCACGCAAAGAAGUUACUCCUGGCCACUGCUUGUCAGUUGGUGUUCCCAACAUCCUGAAAAUAUGAAGCAACUGUUGAAACUCAGAGUCACCAGGAAACAGAGCUUGCCUUCUGACCAUUUCAGCGAAUAUGCAACCAACGGACCACAUAUCUACGGCUGUAGAGUAAUGAGUGGAACCGAGCAAGACCUCGGGAGCCCGAUACCAAAGAGUAACAAUCUCGUGGGUAUAGCUUUUAAGGGGUACAGUGAAAGCGCGGCCAAGGCCGAGAUCGGCGAUCUUGAGAAUACCCUUAUCCUUAUCUAGCAAAAGGUUCUGGGGCUUGAGAUCUCGGUGGAGGACACCAUGGCUAUGACAGUGGGCAACGCCUUUGCAGAGCUGAAAGAGGAAGCUCUGAAUGAGACCAGGAGGGAGAGGCCUAGGGUUAGGUCCUUUGCGGUGGGAAUCAAUAAACUUCUUAAGAUCGGUGUCGAGGUACUCGAAGACCAAGUAGAGAUUAGAUUUAGAAAUGGAAUUUUCCUUAUUAUCAUCGGCAGCAGCAGCGGAGGCAUUAGCGUCGACGUACUCAACGCAGAGGAGGCGAACGACGUAGAGAGAUUGAGAGAGCAUCUGAAGCAAGGAGACCUCGCGGAGAGCGGUGGGAGGAAUACCUUCCUCGUCCAUCUCAAGUCUGGUCUUUUUGAGAGCGACGAUUUGGCCCGUGGAUUUGUCUUUGGCCUUGUACACCUUGCCGUAGGUGCCUUCCCCAACCUUCUCCAGCUUCUCAUACUUGUCCAUGGGGGGUUUCUCUUCCCUACCUUCUGUUAGGAAGCAGUGAACCCUAGAAGAAGGCAAAUUGAAGCGUCUAACGGUUGUCUCUGAAUAGA